AACUGGAAUCCCAACUGGAAACAAUGAUGCUGACAAGGGAUUGAAAGGUAUUCUGCCUUCAGUGAAGUCUGGUGAUCAAACUGAAAAGGAUGCUGAGAAAGGAAAGGAUAAAGCUCAAGCUACAGCCAUGAAAGCAGAUGCAUCAAAAGAGAAGGCUGACAAAGACUUGAAUAAACUCCAGAAAUGGCUUCGAAUGCUCAUGGAAUACAUCUGGCACGUAGACAGCGGAUGUUCAAGACACAUGACUGGAUUGAAG
Molecule: long non-coding RNA, 256 nt
Organism: Helianthus annuus (common sunflower)
Lineage: Eukaryota; Viridiplantae; Streptophyta; Magnoliopsida; Asterales; Asteraceae
Exons: 2
Source: RefSeq, a predicted model, not a curated record